AUGGCUUUUUGGCAAGACGG
This 20-nucleotide small nuclear RNA is filed under the name Arabidopsis thaliana (thale cress). RNAcentral's name for it is "snRNA_17077". The record is from RNAcentral. Lineage: Eukaryota; Viridiplantae; Streptophyta; Magnoliopsida; Brassicales; Brassicaceae.